AACGAACGCUGGCGGCAGGCCUAACACAUGCAAGUCGAGCGAGGACUUCGGUCCUAGCGGCGGACGGGUGAGUAACGCGUGGGAACGUGCCCCUUGGUACGGAAUAGCCCCGGGAAACUGGGAGUAAUACCGUAUGAGCUCUACGGAGGAAAGAUUUAUCGCCAAGGGAUCGGCCCGCGUUGGAUUAGGUAGUUGGUGGGGUAAUGGCCUACCAAGCCGACGAUCCAGAGCUGGUUUGAGAGGAUGGUCAGCCACACUGGGACUGAGACACGGCCCAGACUCCUACGGGAGGCAGCAGUGGGGAAUCUUAGACAAUGGGCGCAAGCCUGAUCUAGCCAUGCCGCGUGAGCGAUGAAGGCCUUAGGGUUGUAAAGCUCUUUCAGCUGGGAAGAUAAUGACUGUACCAGCAGAAGAAGCCCCGGCUAACUCCGUGCCAGCAGCCGCCGUAA
This 449-nucleotide ribosomal RNA is filed under the name uncultured bacterium. RNAcentral's name for it is "partial 16S ribosomal RNA". It matches the Rfam family "Bacterial small subunit ribosomal RNA", at positions 29 to 523 of the family's 1533-position model. The record is from RNAcentral.